RNAcentral lists this long non-coding RNA (2528 nucleotides) under Zea mays. RNAcentral describes it as "long non-coding RNA (ZMAY_LNC003477)". The record is from RNAcentral. Lineage: Eukaryota; Viridiplantae; Streptophyta; Magnoliopsida; Poales; Poaceae.
UUCCAUCGAUUGGUGCGGCUCAGGAACCAGGGAGGGGUCAAGGACGUUCACCAGCGACCGGGGAUCCUGCGCGGGCUGGCAAUCGGGCGUGGGCGUCACCUUAACCCGACGAAUAGCUCGCCGCAGACUUGCUCCUCCGGCCGAACCGCCAUUCACCGUCGGGCCACUCGCGCCGACACUCUCCACCGUUGGUAUGUGGCUUAUUGUGUUCGUCUCUCCUUGCUCUUUGUUAAUCACGGGUGUAUGUGGGGGAUUCGAGAUCGAGGCUCCUGUUGACCGUAACUCCGGCAUGGUCUCCACCGUCGGACCUGGGCGCCGCCGGGUACCGUGACCGGGAUUGGGGAUAGUAGCCCACGCCGUAGAUCAUCGCAUGGACGGCCUCAAUUAGAUCUAGGGAUACCGGUUCGGCUGGAUGGCAUCAGUGCCGUUGGAUUGUAGACGUGUGGCCAGGAUUAGAUCUAGAAGAUGAGUGUGUGACCCUCGGAUCUGGACGAAUGGUUCAGAUUUGAUCCAGCGUGAGGCAUUGUUCCGAGCCAAUUCGGACCGUUGGAUGCGAUCUGUUCGACCCCUAUUAGAUCUCACUUCAUAAAACCCUGACCAUCGAUCUUUAAUCGGACGGCCGUAGUUUAAUACCGGUUCAUAUGGAACUCCAUCUAAUCCCGCGCGUCCGAUUUAGAUCGUGCGGCUCACAUACCACGAUACCCCUUCGCGGGUACAUUUUUCUAAAGAGACCCCAAGUUUUCGCAGAAUCAACCCGCCAUCCCACUCCACUGUGCGCUGGGUCUCUGGUUUCUUGCGCCGGGAACCCUGCUCUUUCUGGUAUUUGAGGCGUAGUCCAGGAACUUGGGAAAUCAGGAAAAAGAUAUAGAAAAUGAGUUUUUAAUGUGAAAACAAUUCAUAGAAUUUGUAUAAUUCAUAGAAAAUGCAUAUGAACUCCAAAUUGGUCCAUUCCAGUUCCUAAAUUUUUGUAAUAUUAUUGUCUAACCAUUAGUGCCUCUGUUUUGACAUGAAAGUCUCAUUAAAAUUUAUCUAGUACUUAAUCUUUUAUUAAAUACAUAAAACCUUCGAGAAAUCAUAACUCCUCAACCAUGACUCCGAUCUUAGUAGUUCUCGAUCCCGCGAUCUCGUAGCAACGUGUAGAUUAUUAUUAUGUAGUUUAUUCUUAUGUUUGGUGUGAUGUUAAUUUUGCCUAUACAUGUUUGUUUGUAUUGCUACGACUAGCAGUGAGGUUACGAGGAUCUGAAGUUCAUCCUGUCACCUGGAAUCCCAAGUCACAGGCAAGUUGUGCCCUUGAUCACUUCUUUUUACCUACUCAUGUUCUGAUUAAUCAUAAUGAUCUGCAUAGGUUAAUUUUGAUGGGACCCAAUAGGUCACCCUAGUUUGUUCAUCCUGAAUACCUUGUUUACCCCUGAAUCACUUGGGUAGUUCUGCUACUGCUUUAUAUGGUUUUGGGUUAAUAUUUCAUUACAUCUAUGUUCCAAUUAUGUUGUUAUUCUAUUUGUGUUCAUGACAAGAUCAUUAAAUGUUAAUUGGAACAUAGAGCUUAACUUGAGAAACAUGUGCCACCACAAGGGUUUAUGGACGCCCUUGGCUGAUUAAUUAGGAAAGCUAGUGGAGGACUACCUUACCCGAAAGGGGCAAGGGCAGUAGGGGAGUGGUCACUGUAGGGAGGCCCUCGGGAGGAUUUUGCUGCGAUGGCGGUCCUGCAAGGGAUUCCUGCAUUGGAACUUCCCAUAAACUGUAGCGGGUUUUCUGAAGCUAGUGGAACUUUGUAAAGGCCUCGUAGUGUUACCCUGCCUCGCCUCCUCGGUAGAGGUGUAUGGGAAGUCGCGAUCUCUUGGCAGAUGGGUAACAUGACUUGUGGGUAAAGGGUACCACCUCUGCAGAGUGUAAAACUGGUAUACUAGCCGAGCUCACGGUCAUGAGCAGCUCAGGACUCUCUGAUGAUUAAAUUAUGGAACUUAAACUCAAUUUGUCAUAUGCAUUGCAUCGCAGGUGAUGUUGUUACUUCUGUUCUACUACUUAAUUGGGUUGGUAUUUACUUAUACUUAGUAACCGCUAAUAAAAUUUUGACCAACUUUAAAAGCAAUGCUCAGCUCUAACCAUCCUCUUUGGUAAGCCUUACACUUCACGUGAGCUCCCACCUUUGGCGAGUUCAUGCACAUUAUUCCCCACAACUUGUUGAGCGAUGAACGUAUGUGAGCUCACUCUUGCUGUCUCACACCCCCCCACACAGGUCAAGAACAGGUACCACAGGAUGAGGCGCUUGGAGGAUGCUGUGAUGUGUUCGUGAGAGAUCUAGGCCGUCGUCUCCCAGUCAACUUUGGGUUGCUGGAUCGUUUCCUCAUAUGAUGUAAUUAUUUAAUUAUUUUUGUACAGAACUCCUGUUAUAUAGUAAAGAUGUGACAUUCGAUCCUGUGCCACUAUGCAUCAUAUGUGUGAGACUUGGUCCCAGCACACCUGGUGUUUAUGUUCGCGCCCGGGUUUUGGACCCCCGAAAUCCGGGUGUGACAUCCUAUUAGUUUGUU